Molecule: long non-coding RNA, 380 nt
Organism: Styela clava
Lineage: Eukaryota; Metazoa; Chordata; Ascidiacea; Stolidobranchia; Styelidae
Source: RefSeq, a predicted model, not a curated record
CAAAUGAAACAUUUCGGUCCGUGUUUUGAGUUUAAUUAUAUAGCUCAUUAAAUACCUUGUGGGUAUUUAAGAUAUUGAGCCGAUAAAUUUUAGCUUUUUUUGGUAAAUAGUACGAUUGCAAACUCCAAGACAUGAAGCAAGUUACGGUUCUGUUCGCUAUUUUAAUUUUUUUAAAUGCUUUCUCGGUUGACUUGAAGGAAAAAAGAUCAGAAGAUGUAUCCAAUGCGGUGAAAUUAGAAGGGCCUCCAUAUGCAGAACCUACCCCAAAAUUCCGUAUACGGAGAACCGUACCGCCAAAAGAACCUUUACCUCCUGGCCAAAGGAAGUGAUAACAGGAUUCUUUUGCCUCGUUGAGAUGUACGACAAGACAACUUUAUAAU